UUUUACAGUUCUUUGCAACCUUAUUAUGCAAAGAGUUUAAUAUCCAGUUUUUUAAUAAUUUUUGUUGUGAAAUACGGAUCUUAACUGGCUGCUCAGAAGAAAUAUUGUUAUACUUAUACCAUUCUUUUAAUAAAGAAAUGUCAUAACUUCUUCUUCUUGGGUUUGAUCUAACAUUAAAUGGAAAUGGAGACCAAAAUAAUAAAAUUCCAUUUGUUGUGGAACUUGUCUCAAGGCUAUAUUCGUGGAAAAAAGGGCUAAAGUGAAUUUUAAUAUUAUGUAUUUCCUCGUCAACGAUUUGGUAAAUAUUUUCCAACAAGGAGUUAUUUGGAGAAAUUGGAUGGUAAUAUUCAUUGAACUCGAAUAUUGGAGAAUUCGGGUUUUCCGGCUUUGUAAAUAUAUUAACUAUGUAAUGAUAGACUGAUGUAGAAACAAAUUUAGGUAAUGAGUUAUAAAAAUGCGGAAAGGCUAUUUUAUAUUCAGAUCUUGUAAUCGACCUGAAAAUUACUCGGUUAAGAUCGUUAAAUUCAUUCCAAUCUUCAUCCUCAUCAAAUGAAGUACUAUUUAGUGGCUCAAAUUUAGGCCCUCCUGGAAUUGCAAUGUUUAGUGCUUUCGCAGUAAAAAAUGCAUCUUUAUUAAAUAAAUAAUAAGAGUUAUUUUCUAAUAAGAUUGGCAAUAUUUGCAUGGAUAAUCUAUAAAGAGUCCCAAGUUGUUCAAAUGUUAAAUGCCACUGAUGUUUUUUAUAAUUCCCCUUUUUAUGAAAAUACUUAAAUUGUUGUUUUGAAUCUAAAUAAAACCAAUCAUAAACAGAAAUAUCUUCUUCACCAUCCAAAACUAUCUGUAUAGAAUCAAGUGGUUCAACACCUAAGAUAUUUUCGCAAUAAUCUAUCGGGGGCUCUUCAUCAUCGAAGGGUGGAAAACGAAUCCUUUUAAAAUGUUUCCUAUCACGCUUUUCCCUUCUCAUCAUCGUCCACAUUGUAGACCACUGAGCAAUAUAGAUAGGUUCAAUAACCCAUGGUAUUUCAUUUACAAAAGUUAUUGCGCCUGUAGUAUGAUACAAACAAUCUACAUACUUUACUCUUUCCCAAGGCAUUGGUAUGUUUUCUAACAACUUAAAAAUUGAAUGAGGGAUAUAUUUUAGCGCACCUAAAUAGACUCUCUUCUCAUUCUGAAACUUUCUCGAUGACAUAUCGCCAUGAAUAUUAAUUAGUUUCCUUAAAUGUUCAGGUGGUAAUUUAGAUUUUCUCACAAUCUGAUUUCCAUUAACUUUUGAGCGUCUGCAAUAUCGGGCUUCAUUUAGCUUCGACCAAUUUAAGUGCUUUAUUCCCAA
Molecule: non-coding RNA, 1327 nt
Filed under: Cryptosporidium parvum
Lineage: Eukaryota; Apicomplexa; Conoidasida; Eucoccidiorida; Cryptosporidiidae
Source: RNAcentral